CGGUCCAGACUCCUUCGGGAGGCAGCAGUGAGGAAUAUUGCACCAUUGGAGUAAUUCUGAUCCAGCAACGCCGUCGUGGAGGAUGACGCAUUUCGGUGGGUAAACUCUUUUAUUAAGGGAAGGUAAUGGCGGUCCUUAAUGAAUAAGCACCGGCUAACUCCGUGCCAGCAGCCGCGGUAAUACGGAGGGUGCAAGCGUUACUCGGAAUCACUGGGCGUAAAGGGUGCGUAGGCUGGCUUUUAAGUCAGGUGUGAAAUCCAAUGGCUCAACCAUUGAACUGCACUUGAAACUGGGAGCCUAGAGUUCAGAAGGGGCAGAUGGAAUUAGUGGUGUAGGGGUAAAAUCCGUAGAUAUCACUAGGAAUAUCAAAAGCGAAGGCGAUCUGCUGGGAUGAUACUGACGCUGAGGCACGAAAGCGUGGGGAGCAAACAGGAUUAGAUACCCUGGUAGUCCACGCCCUAAACGAUGAAUGCUAGUCGUCGGGAAGCUCGUCUUUUCGGUGACGCACUUAACAGAUUAAGCAUUCCGCCUGGGGAGUACGGUCGCAAGAUUAAAACUCAAAGGAAUAGACGGGGACCCGCACAAGUGGUGGAGCAUGUGGUUUAAUUCGAAGAUACACGAAGAACCUUACCUGGCCUUGACAUCCCAAGAACUUUCCAGAGAUGGAUUGGUGCUAGCUUGCUAGAACUUGGUGACAGGUGCUGCACGGCUGUCGUCAGCUCGUGUCGUGAGAUGUUGGGUUAAGUCCCGCAACGAGCGCAACCCUCGUCUUUAGUUGCUAACAGUUAGGCUGAGCACUCUAAAGAGACUGCCUCCGUAAGGAGGAGGAAGGUGAGGACGACGUCAAGUCAUCAUGGCCCUUACGGCCAGGGCUACACACGUGCUACAAUGGGGCGUACAGAGAGCUGCAAUACCGCGAGGUGGAGCCAAUCUCUUAAAGCGUCUCUCAGUUCGGAUUGUUCUCUGCAACUCGAGAACAUGAAGCUGGAAUCAGUAGUAAUCGCAGAUCAGCUAUGCUGCGGUGAAGACGUUCCCGGGUAACGUACCCGCAACCAGUCACGACCAGGGAG
RNAcentral lists this ribosomal RNA (1070 nucleotides) under uncultured bacterium. RNAcentral's name for it is "bacterial SSU rRNA". It matches the Rfam family "Bacterial small subunit ribosomal RNA", at positions 327 to 1410 of the family's 1533-position model. The record is from RNAcentral.